UACGGAAGGGAGCUAGCGUUGUUCGGAAUCACUGGGCGUAAAGCGCACGUAGGCGGAUGUGUCAGUCAGGGGUGAAAUCCCGGAGCUCAACUUCGGAACUGCCCUUGAUACAGCACGUCUUGAGUCCGGAAGAGGUGGGUGGAAUUCCUAGUGUAGAGGUGAAAUUCGUAGAUAUUGGGAAGAACACCGGUGGCGAAGGCGGCGACCUGGUCCAUUACUGACGCUGAGGCGCGACAGCGUGGGGAGCAAACAGG
Molecule: ribosomal RNA, 254 nt
Filed under: uncultured bacterium
Lineage: Bacteria
Description: partial 16S ribosomal RNA
Rfam family: Bacterial small subunit ribosomal RNA
Source: RNAcentral